AAUAGAUACCCAGGUAGUCCACGCCGUAGACGAUGAAUACUAGGUGUAGGGGUUGUCAUGACCUCUGUGCCGCCGCAAACGCAUUAAGUAUUCCGCCUGGGGAGUACGGUCGCAAGAUUAAAACUCAAAGGAAUUGACGGGGGCCCGCACAAGCAGCGGAGCAUGUGGUUUAAUUCGAAGCAACGCGAAGAACCUUACCUAGACUUGACAUCUCCUGAAUUACUCUUAAUCGAGGAAGUCCCUUCGGGGACAGGAAGACAGGUGGUGCAUGGUUGUCGUCAGCUCGUGUCGUGAGAUGUUGGGUUAAGUCCCGCAACGAGCGCAACCCUUAUUGUUAGUUGCUACCAUUAAGUUGAGCACUCUAGCAAGACUGCCCGGGUUAACCGGGAGGAAGGUGGGGAUGACGUCAAAUCAUCAUGCCCCUUAUGUCUAGGGCUACACACGUGCUACAAUGGCAAGUACAAAAGAUGCAAUACCGCAAGGUGGAGCUAAACUUAAAAACUUGUCUCAGUUCGGAUUGUAGGCUGAAACUCGCCUACAGU
This 542-nucleotide ribosomal RNA is filed under the name uncultured bacterium. Its description in RNAcentral is "bacterial SSU rRNA". It matches the Rfam family "Bacterial small subunit ribosomal RNA", at positions 777 to 1322 of the family's 1533-position model. The record is from RNAcentral.